RNAcentral lists this transfer RNA (56 nucleotides) under Alligator mississippiensis (American alligator). It matches the Rfam family "tRNA", at positions 8 to 63 of the family's 71-position model. Rfam says of the family: Transfer RNA (tRNA) molecules are approximately 80 nucleotides in length. Their secondary structure includes four short double-helical elements and three loops (D, anti-codon, and T loops). Lineage: Eukaryota; Metazoa; Chordata; Crocodylia; Alligatoridae. The record is from Rfam by way of RNAcentral.
UGGUUCAGUGGUAGAAUCCUUGUCUACUACACAGGGGACUUGGGUUUGAUUCCCAG